This 481-nucleotide ribosomal RNA is filed under the name uncultured bacterium. Its description in RNAcentral is "partial 16S ribosomal RNA". It matches the Rfam family "Bacterial small subunit ribosomal RNA", at positions 39 to 507 of the family's 1533-position model. The record is from RNAcentral.
GCGGUAGGCCUAACACAUGCAAGUCGCACGGCAGCACAGUCAGAGCUUGCUCUUACGGGUGGCGAGUGGCGGACGGGUGAGGAAUACAUCGGAAUCUACUUUUUCGUGGGGGAUAACGUAGGGAAACUUACGCUAAUACCGCAUACGACCUACGGGUGAAAGCAGGGGAUCUUCGGACCUUGCGCGAUUGAAUGAGCCGAUGUCGGAUUAGCUAGUUGGCGGGGUAAAGGCCCACCAAGGCGACGAUCCGUAGCUGGCCUGAGAGGAUGAUCAGCCACACUGGAACUGAGACACGGUCCAGACUCCUACGGGAGGCAGCAGUGGGGAAUAUUGGACAAUGGGCGCAAGCCUGAUCCAGCCAUACCGCGUGGGUGAAGAAGGCCUUCGGGUUGUAAAGCCCUUUUGUUGGGAAAGAAAAGCAGCAGGUUAAUACCCCGCUGUUCUGACGGUACCCAAAGAAUAAGCACCGGCUAACUUCGUG